CCCUUAGAUGUUAUGGGCUGCACGCGUGCUACACUGAUAUUGCCAAUAUGUCAUUCUUAUCCGAAAUGGAUUGGGUAAUCAAGUAAUGAAAUUUCAUGCUUGGAAUCGGUAAUUGCAAUUUUAUCGUGAACGAGGAAUUCCUAGUAAGCACUAGUCAUCAGCUAAUGUUGAUUAUGUCCCUGCCCUUUGUACACACCGCCCGUCGCUACUACUGAUUGGGUGUUCAAGUGAGAUGCUUAGACCCUUGUUGCAUGGUUCAUUAUUGUGCUCCGAAAGGAAAAAGUUUCAAGCUUGAGUGUCUAGAGGAAGUAAAAGUCGUAACA
This 323-nucleotide ribosomal RNA is filed under the name uncultured eukaryote. Its description in RNAcentral is "partial 18S ribosomal RNA". It matches the Rfam family "Eukaryotic small subunit ribosomal RNA", at positions 1470 to 1796 of the family's 1831-position model. The record is from RNAcentral.